Molecule: ribosomal RNA, 259 nt
Filed under: uncultured bacterium
Lineage: Bacteria
Description: partial 16S ribosomal RNA
Rfam family: Bacterial small subunit ribosomal RNA
Source: RNAcentral
GAUGAAUGCUGGCGGCGUGCCUAACACAUGCAAGUCGAACGGUAACAUGUUUCUCACCUUGGUCCUAACUUUCAAAAGUUGGUGCUGAAGUGAGAAAUGAUGACGAGUGGCGGACGGCUGAGUAACGCGUGGGAACAUGCCCCAAAGUGAGGGAUAAGCUCCAGAAAUGGAGUCUAAUACCGGCAUAUGAUCUUCGGAUUAAAGGAUUUAUCCGCUUUGGGGAGUGGCCUGCGUACGAUUAGAUAGUUGGUGAGGUAAU